AUUGAACGCUGGCGGCAUGCCUAACACAUGCAAGUCGAACGGUAACAGGCCCUUCGGGGCGCUGACGAGUGGCGGACGGGUGAGUAAUGCUUAGGAAUCUGCCUAGUAGUGGGGGAUAACCCGGGGAAACUCGGGCUAAUACCGCAUACGUCCUACGGGAGAAAGCGGGGGACCUUUGGGCCUCGCGCUAUUAGAUGAGCCUAAGUCCGAUUAGCUAGUUGGUAGGGUAACGGCCUACCAAGGCGACGAUCGGUAGCUGGUCUGAGAGGACGACCAGCCACACUGGGACUGAGACACGGCCCAGACUCCUACGGGAGGCAGCAGUGGGGAAUAUUGGACAAUGGGCGCAAGCCUGAUCCAGCGAUGCCGCGUGUGUGAAGAAGGCCUGCGGGUUGUAAAGCACUUUCAGUUGUGAAG
Molecule: ribosomal RNA, 417 nt
Filed under: uncultured bacterium
Lineage: Bacteria
Description: bacterial SSU rRNA
Rfam family: Bacterial small subunit ribosomal RNA
Source: RNAcentral